RNAcentral lists this ribosomal RNA (426 nucleotides) under uncultured bacterium. RNAcentral's name for it is "bacterial SSU rRNA". It matches the Rfam family "Bacterial small subunit ribosomal RNA", at positions 354 to 796 of the family's 1533-position model. The record is from RNAcentral.
GUGAGGAAUUUUCCGCAAUGGGCGAAAGCCUGACGGAGCAAUGCCGCGUGAAGGAUGAAGGCCUAUGGGUUGUAAACUUCUUUUCUCAGAAAAGAAUUAUGACGGUAUCUGAGGAAUAAGCAUCGGCUAACUCUGUGCCAGCAGCCGCGGUAAGACAGAGGAUGCAAGCGUUAUCCGGAAUGAUUGGGCGUAAAGCGUCUGUAGGUUGUUUAAAAAGUAUUCUGUCAAAGAUUAGGGCUUAACCCUAGAUAGUCAGAAUAAACUUUUAAGCUAGAGUUUGGUAGAGGCAGAGGGAAUUCCCGGUGGAGCGGUGAAAUGCGUAGAUAUCGGGAGGAACACCAAAGGCGAAGGCACUCUGCUGGGCCAAUACUAACACUGAGAGACGAAAGCGAGGGGAGCAAAUGGGAUUAGAAACCCGUGUAGUCC